AUUGAACGCUGGCGGCAGGCCUAACACAUGCAAGUCGAGCGGAUGAGAGGAGCUUGCUUCUUGAUUCAGCGGCGGACGGGUGAGUAAUGCCUAGGAAUCUGCCUGGUAGUGGGGGACAACGUUUCGAAAGGAACGCUAAUACCGCAUACGUCCUACGGGAGAAAGCAGGGGACCUUCGGGCCUUGCGCUAUCAGAUGAGCCUAGGGCGGAUUAGCUAGUUGGUGAGGUAAUGGCUCACCAAGGCGACGAUCCGUAACUGGUCUGAGAGGAUGAUCAGUCACACUGGAGCUGAGACACGGUCCAGACUCCUACGGGAGGCAGCAGUGGGGAAUAUUGGACAAUGGGCGAAAGCCUGAUCCAGCCAUGCCGCGUGUGUGAAGAAGGUCUUCGGAUUGUAAAGCACUUUAAGUUGGGAGGAAGGGUUGUACGUUAAUACCGUGCAAUUUUGACGUUACCGACAGAAUAAGCACCGGCUAACUCUGUGCCAGCCGCCGCCGUAA
Molecule: ribosomal RNA, 500 nt
Filed under: uncultured bacterium
Lineage: Bacteria
Description: partial 16S ribosomal RNA
Rfam family: Bacterial small subunit ribosomal RNA
Source: RNAcentral